Molecule: long non-coding RNA, 113 nt
Organism: Haliotis rubra (blacklip abalone)
Lineage: Eukaryota; Metazoa; Mollusca; Gastropoda; Lepetellida; Haliotidae
Exons: 3
Source: RefSeq, a predicted model, not a curated record
UGCUGUUCCGAUCUUUUCCAGUUAGUGUUGGGAAAUGGAAACCAAAUCCACUGUUGAUUAUCAGAGGACUUGUGGUGAACGAUUAUCGAUUAUAAUAAAAAUAUAUACAUUUU